This 421-nucleotide ribosomal RNA is filed under the name Theileria sp. RNAcentral describes it as "SSU rRNA". It matches the Rfam family "Eukaryotic small subunit ribosomal RNA", at positions 461 to 923 of the family's 1831-position model. The record is from RNAcentral. Lineage: Eukaryota; Apicomplexa; Aconoidasida; Piroplasmida; Theileriidae.
GAGGUAGUGACAAGAAAUAACAAUACGGGGCUUAAUGUCUUGUAAUUGGAAUGAUGGGAAUUUAAACCUCUUCCAGAGUAUCAAUUGGAGGGCAAGUCUGGUGCCAGCAGCCGCGGUAAUUCCAGCUCCAAUAGCGUAUAUUAAAAUUGUUGCAGUUAAAAAGCUCGUAGUUGAAUUUCUGCUGCAUUUCAUUUCUCUUUCUGAGUUUGUUUUUGCGGCUUAUUUCGGUUUGAUUUUUUCUUUCCGGAUGAUUACUUUGAGAAAAUUAGAGUGCUCAAAGCAGGCUUUUGCCUUGAAUAGUUUAGCAUGGAAUAAUAAAGUAGGACUUUGGUUCUAUUUUGUUGGUUUUAGGUACCAAAGUAAUGGUUAAUAGGAACAGUUGGGGGCAUUCGUAUUUAACUGUCAGAGGUGAAAUUCUUAG